RNAcentral lists this unclassified non-coding RNA (3321 nucleotides) under Hevea brasiliensis (rubber tree). Lineage: Eukaryota; Viridiplantae; Streptophyta; Magnoliopsida; Malpighiales; Euphorbiaceae. The record is from RNAcentral.
GUUAAGUCAACCACGUCUUUCCCCAGUUCCCACCUUAGUAUUGUCAAUGUGAACCAGGCGCGAAGCAUCAGUCUUGUUCAAACAGUAAACAGAAUUGAACAACAAUCGAUGUAUUAAUUGCGGUUUACUCACUCUUGAAAAUGGAAGAAUCAAGAAUGUCCUUUCUCUUUCUUCUUUGCCUUAAACGGCGUUAUCACAACGAAAGUCUUUGCUUUAAGUGACUGCUCAAGAAAGUAGGAAGCUUCUUUGCAAGUUCCUUUUCAUUUAUUGUUUUUCUUCUCAACCUCAAAAAAAAUUUAUUCUUUAUCAGCUUCUCGCGCUGCACGCCAGAGGGUCUACAGUAGUGCUAUUUUUAUCCCAAGAAAGUGAGAGAAUUUCCUAAAAAAUGGGUGAGAGAUUUCCAUUUUCCAAAUUAACCGAACCCUUGAAUUGUUUCCCAUAUUUGUUUGUGUCUCACUAAUAGUUCUGCAAGAUUCAGAGUGAAAUUGUUGUUCAAGGAGAUGGCAGCUUUACUUCUCGCUUCAUCUGCUGCAGGAGCUGGGUUGGAGAUAGUUUUUGGAAGUUUUCUGAGAGCUAUUUUGGAGGUGAGGAGGAGCAACGCCAUGUUUGCUCCUACCUUGAAGCAACUGGAAGACACUAUGGAGUCUAUGAGACCAAGCAUCAAGAGAAUCGAAACAUUUAACAGAGAUUUCGAUCGGCCAGAUGAAAUUAAAGGGCUACAGGAUUUGAUGAAAAAGGGUGAGGAUUUAGUUCGCAAAUGCUCAAAAAUCCAUCGAUACAACUAUGUCAAGAAGCCUUUGUAUACCAAGAAACUUGUUAAGUUCGAUGAGUCUAUUCGUAGGUAUAUUAGUGCCAUUUUGCUACUGCAUUCAACAUCAGAUGUAAAGGAGAAUUUGUAUGAGACGAGACUGCUAAGUGCCCAGAUUAGGAACUUAAGCAUGGGGGCAUCCAGUGCUGGGGUGUCCAGUGGUGGUGGUUCCAUUAAGUAUGGUUUUGUGGGUGUGUGCUCGCCUCCUGGACUCAAGGUGGUUCCGGUUGGGUUAGAGAAUCCCAUGAAGGAUUUGAAAGAAAAGCUGCUCAAGGGUGAUGAGGUCUCACAAGUGAUUGUAGUAUCUGCUCCUGGAGGAUGUGGAAAGACCACAUUGGCUACAGCACUUUGUCAAGAUGCUAAUAUUAAGGACAAAUAUAAGGGCAAUAUUUUCUUUGUUACUGUCUCAAAAUCGCCGGACGUGCUGGUUAUUGUAGAGAGGUUAUUUCAGCAUAUGGAUUCCAACACUGGUUUUCAAAGUGCAGAAGAUGCAGUUAACCAAUUGGAAAAUUUGUUCAGGUCCAGGGGCCCAGAACCUAUACUGCUGGUCCUUGAUGAUGUUUGGUCUGGAGCAGAAUUUCUAGUUGAGAAGCUCAAGUUUCCAAUAACAGAUUACAAGAUUUUAGUAACAUCAAGGUUUGAAUUUCCACGCUUCGGUCCCAGUUAUAAAUUGAAAACACUAAAUAAUGAAGAUGCUAUGACGCUUUUCUGUCGCCUAGCAUUCCUGCCAGAUGGGAACUCAUACAGACCAGAUCAAGAUGUUGUGAAUAAGGUGCUUCAUUAAUCUGUAGUUAUGGACAAGCAUAUUUGCUUAUUUUUGUUUGAUAUUUCACUAUUUUUGUGCAGCAUUCCUACAAGCAAAGAAAAUUUUUCACUUUUAGAAAACGAAAAAUGUUACCACUUUUGUACUUUUACCAUAUAUAACUAGCUGUUGCUGCCCAUACAACAUGCAAAGAGCAAUUGAUUUAACUAUUGGCAAUGAAUAACAGAUAGUGGAAGUCUGUAAGGGAUUCCCACUAGCCAUUUCAGUGGUUGGCAAAUCACUAUGUGGGAAGUCUGCAGCAGAAUGGAGGAAGAGAAUUAAGGAAUGCUCUAAAGCUUCUUCUGUUCUUGCUAACUUUGAGUUUGAGCUGCUUCAUUGUCUUCAAAGCAGCGUUGAUGCCUUGAAGAAUAAUACUUCAGCCAAGGAGUGUUACAUGGACCUAGGUUCCUUUCCUGAAGACCAAAAAAUUCCUGCCUCUACCCUUAUGGAUAUGUGGAUGGAAUGGCAUAAGCUUGAAGAAGAUGACGCCAUUGCUAAUCUCUAUGAACUCUCUGAACGAAAUCUGAUUGAUCUUGUAGUUACAAGGAAAGAUGCAAGUGAAGACUAUGGCUCUAUUAUCGUGCUGCAGCAUGAUUUACUAAGAGAGUUGGCUAUCAUUCAAAGCAGCUCAGGAAGCAUUGAGCACAGAAAGAGGCUAUUUGUAGAUGUAAGUGGUAACAAUUUCCCAGAAUGGUGGGCUCAACAAAGACAACUAUUUAUCAGGGCCAACCUUUUAUCUAUUUGCACAGAUAAUAUGUUCUCAUCAAGUUGGUGCAACAUCGCAGCACCUGAAGUUGAGGUUUUAGUUUUAAAUUUUCAGACAAAGAAUUACACCUUACCCUGGUUCAUGGGAGGCAUGGAUAAGCUAAAGGUUCUAAUCAUUGCAAAUUAUGGUUUCUUUCCUGCUGAAUUGAGCAAUUUCCAGCAUGUUGGUUCUUUAUCAAAUCUAAAGAGAAUCAGAUUGGAAAAGGUUUCACUUCCAUCCAGCUUCUUGGGCUCUGUACAAUUGGAGAAGCUAGAAAAGAUAUCCUUGGUUAUGUGUAGUAUUGGUCAAGCUUUCAGCAACUCUGCUAUCUGGAUGCCAAAUGUAGUGGAGAUCAACAUUGACUACUGCAAUGAUUUGGUGGAAUUACCUAAUGGAUUCUGUGAUCUUGUCCGGCUGAAAAAGCUCAGCAUCACCAAUUGUCACAGACUGUCAGCAUUGCCAGAAGACUUGGGGAAUUUGGAGAAUUUGGAGGUGCUAAGACUUAACUGCAUUGAAUUGUUAGAGUUGCCAGACACGAUCGGGAGGCUUCAUAAGUUGAGGAUUCUUGACAUAUCUGAAUGUUUAAGCAUAACAAAAUUGCCAGAAGAGAUCAGUGAGUUGAAUAGUUUAAGAAAGCUCUGCAUGAUUGACUGCUCAAGUUGUGAAUUGCCAUGGUCAGUUGUGAACCUUGUCCACCUAAUGGAAGUUAUAGGUGAUGAAGAAACAGCCAAUUCAUGGAAAGCUUUUGAGGCUUUCCUUCCAAAUCUGGCAAUAAAGGUGCAUAAAGAUGUCAACUUAGACUGGCUACGCUAGUCAUUGUUUUCUGAUAAUGAUUAUUCUCCGCUAAUGUUGAUGCGUCUCUAAUUUUGAAAUUACAUCAGAUUUUUAAAAAAUAAUAAAAUUAGCAAAAUUUUAAUAUAGGUUUUAACAAUUUAAACACAUUGUUGUUUUGAUAUAAAAAAAAAA